AAUCUGUUGAGGAGGAAAGAGCCAGAAACACCUGGUCCCUCAGGCAGGAUUGGGCCGAGCCUAUGCCCUGGCUUUUGCAGAAAGAGGAGCGUUAGUUGUUGUGAAUGAUUUGGGAGGGGACUUCAAAGGAGUUGGUAAAGGCUCCUUAGCUGCUGAUAAGGUUGUUGAAGAAAUAAGAAGGAGAGGUGGAAAAGCAGUGGCCAACUAUGAUUCAGUGGAAGAAGGAGAGAAGGUUGUGAAGACAGCCCUGGAUGCUUUUGGAAGAAUAGAUGUUGUGGUCAACAAUGCUGGAAUUCUGAGGGAUCGUUCCUUUGCUAGGAUAAGUGACGAAGACUGGGAUAUAAUCCACAGAGUUCAUUUGCGGGGUUCAUUCCAAGUGACACGGGCAGCAUGGGAACACAUGAAGAAACAGAAAUAUGGAAGGAUUAUUAUGACUUCAUCAGCUUCAGGAAUAUAUGGCAACUUUGGCCAGGCCAAUUAUAGUGCUGCAAAGUUGGGUCUUCUGGGCCUUGCAAAUUCUCUUGCAAUUGAAGGCAGGAAAAGCAACAUUCAUUGUAACACCAUUGCUCCUAAUGCGGGAUCACGGAUG
This 589-nucleotide small RNA is filed under the name Pongo abelii (Sumatran orangutan). RNAcentral describes it as "retained intron". The record is from RNAcentral. Lineage: Eukaryota; Metazoa; Chordata; Mammalia; Primates; Hominidae.